CCUACGGGAGGCAGCAGUGGGGAAUUUUGGACAAUGGGCGCAAGCCUGAUCCAGCAAUGCCGCGUGAGUGAAGAAGGCCUUCGGGUUGUAAAGCUCUUUUGUCAGGGAAGAAACGGUGGGGGCUAAUAUCCCUCGCUAAUGACGGUACCUGAAGAAUAAGCACCGGCUAACUACGUGCCAGCAGCCGCGGUAAUACGUAGGGUGCAAGCGUUAAUCGGAAUUACUGGGCGUAAAGCGUGCGCAGGCGGUUUUGUAAGUCUGUCGUGAAAGCCCCGGGCUCAACCUGGGAAUUGCGAUGGAGACUGCAAGGCUUGAAUCUGGCAGAGGGGGGUAGAAUUCCACGUGUAGCAGUGAAAUGCGUAGAGAUGUGGAGGAACACCGAUGGCGAAGGCAGCCCCCUGGGUCAAGAUUGACGCUCAUGCACGAAAGCGUGGGGAGCAAACAGGAUUAGAUACCCUGGUAGUCCACGCCCUAAACGAUGUCUACUAGUUGUUACGGUUUUAAUUAACGUUAGGUAACGCAGCUAACGCGUGAAGUAGACCGCCGUGGGGAGUACGGUCGCAAGUAUUAAAACCGACGAAAGGAAGUUAGGUACGGACGUGAGACGUGCCGACGGACGACGACGACGGGAGGAGG
RNAcentral lists this ribosomal RNA (636 nucleotides) under uncultured bacterium. RNAcentral's name for it is "bacterial SSU rRNA". It matches the Rfam family "Bacterial small subunit ribosomal RNA", at positions 338 to 1414 of the family's 1533-position model. The record is from RNAcentral.